This 85-nucleotide transfer RNA is filed under the name Nocardia transvalensis. RNAcentral's name for it is "tRNA-Leu". The record is from RNAcentral. Lineage: Bacteria; Bacillati; Actinomycetota; Actinomycetes; Mycobacteriales; Nocardiaceae.
CGCGGUGAUAGGUGGAGACACGCGCGGGACCGCUCCUGGUUGGCUCAUAACCCAGAGGUCGCAGGUUCAAAUCCUGUCCCCGCUA